AAAUUGAAGAGUUUGAUCAUGGCUCAGAUUGAACGCUGGCGGCAGGCCUAACACAUGCAAGUCGAGCGGUAGCACAGAGAGCUUGCUCUCGGGUGACGAGCGGCGGACGGGUGAGUAAUGUCUGGGAAACUGCCUGAUGGAGGGGGAUAACUACUGGAAACGGUAGCUAAUACCGCAUAAUGUCGCAAGACCAAAGUGGGGGACCUUCGGGCCUCAUGCCAUCAGAUGUGCCCAGAUGGGAUUAGCUAGUAGGUGGGGUAACGGCUCACCUAGGCGACGAUCCCUAGCUGGUCUGAGAGGAUGACCAGCCACACUGGAACUGAGACACGGUCCAGACUCCUACGGGAGGCAGCAGUGGGGAAUAUUGCACAAUGGGCGCAAGCCUGAUGCAGCCAUGCCGCGUGUGUGAAGAAGGCCUUCGGGUUGUAAAGCACUUUCAGCGGGGAGGAAGGCGUUAAGGUUAAUAACCUUAGCGAUUGACGUUACCCGCAGAAGAAGCACCGGCUAACUCCGUGCCAGCAGCCGCGGUAAUACGGAGGGUGCAAGCGUUAAUCGGAAUUACUGGGCGUAAAGCGCACGCAGGCGGUCUGUCAAGUCGGAUGUGAAAUCCCCGGGCUCAACCUGGGAACUGCAUUCGAAACUGGCAGGCUAGAGUCUUGUAGAGGGGGGUAGAAUUCCAGGUGUAGCGGUGAAAUGCGUAGAGAUCUGGAGGAAUACCGGUGGCGAAGGCGGCCCCCUGGACAAAGACUGACGCUCAGGUGCGAAAGCGUGGGGAGCAAACAGGAUUAGAUACCCUGGUAGUCCACGCCGUAAACGAUGUCGAUUUGGAGGUUGUGCCCUUGAGGCGUGGCUUCCGGAGCUAACGCGUUAAAUCGACCGCCUGGGGAGUACGGCCGCAAGGUUAAAACUCAAAUGAAUUGACGGGGGCCCGCACAAGCGGUGGAGCAUGUGGUUUAAUUCGAUGCAACGCGAAGAACCUUACCUGGUCUUGACAUCCACAGAACUUUCCAGAGAUGGAUUGGUGCCUUCGGGAACUGUGAGACAGGUGCUGCAUGGCUGUCGUCAGCUCGUGUUGUGAAAUGUUGGGUUAAGUCCCGCAACGAGCGCAACCCUUAUCCUUUGUUGCCAGCGGUCAGGCCGGGAACUCAAAGGAGACUGCCAGUGAUAAACUGGAGGAAGGUGGGGAUGACGUCAAGUCAUCAUGGCCCUUACGACCAGGGCUACACACGUGCUACAAUGGCAUAUACAAAGAGAAGCGACCUCGCGAGAGCAAGCGGACCUCAUAAAGUAUGUCGUAGUCCGGAUUGGAGUCUGCAACUCGACUCCAUGAAGUCGGAAUCGCUAGUAAUCGUAGAUCAGAAUGCUACGGUGAAUACGUUCCCGGGCCUUGUACACACCGCCCGUCACACCAUGGGAGUGGGUUGCAAAAGAAGUAGGUAGCUUAACCUUCGGGAGGGCGCUUACCACUUUGUGAUUCAUGACUGGGGUGAAGUCGUAACAAGGUAACCGUAGGGGAACCUGCGGUUGGAUCACCUCCUUA
This 1540-nucleotide ribosomal RNA is filed under the name Klebsiella pneumoniae. RNAcentral describes it as "bacterial SSU rRNA". It matches the Rfam family "Bacterial small subunit ribosomal RNA". Lineage: Bacteria; Pseudomonadati; Pseudomonadota; Gammaproteobacteria; Enterobacterales; Enterobacteriaceae. The record is from RNAcentral.